CAAUAGGGCCCAUUAUGCGAAAUUUUCUGUUUUGGAGGGCCAAAACUGUGUUUUUCUGUAAAACAGUGGACUACUAGUGUUCCAAGUACUUUUCAAAGGUUUAAAAUGCUUUUCAAAUUUAAAAAGGACCAAAGUUGCAAAAUUUUUCCAAUUUGGGCCAAAAUUGUAAAAACUGCGAAAAAGAGGGGUUAUAACCGAGAAAACUGCAUUUUCAGGGACUUAAACUGUUUUCAAUGAAAAAUAUGCUGAAAAAUAUUACUUUAAAUAAUUUUUGGUGUUAAAAUGUCAAGAAAAAUGAUUUAAGGACCAAACCGGAAAGUUAUUAAAUUGAAGGGUUGAAAAAUGUAAAUUUUACAAACAAUGAGGGGCUGAAAACAGAAAACUUCCAAGGCUAAUUCAAUACACGCAAUUUGAUCAAAUAAUGGCACUGCGACUAUCGACGAAAUACAAUACACAACAAUACCAAAAAUCGUUGUUAAACGAAUUGAUUCGGUCUCGAAUCAAUAACAAUCCGAAAAUACUAACACGACGAUAACUCGAUUCAUACACGAAAACAUUUGGUAAUUCAACAUACAUGCGAGUGUGCACAGACGUCUACGCACCAUCUUUGGGCCCCAAAAGUGUAAAAUCUUGUUCGUUGGGCCUAGCUAGCCCAAUGACCUGAUCUUAAGGCCCGAAGACUUCUACCUUACGAAGUGUUGGGUUUUACCGAUCUAACACAACGUAAAAGGACUUUCAAUGGCUUGUAUACUAUUGGUCCCCAAGGGUCCUUUGGUAUUGCUAGUAAAGUCGAUAUUUCAUGCGAGGCGGGUCAGGGACCCCUCGUACCUUUUUUUUAUCCCCAACCGGUUAAUGGAGUCAUCGGGGUCUUCGUGUCCUCUUUCUCUUCGGAUGUGGGAUUACUCGAAGUCAGGGCGGUCGGAUAACGUGAUUAGUACGGACGACGCCUACGGGAUCGUUAGUAUAGUUAUAAACUGGUCGUUUGUGUAACGCGUGUUUAUAGCAAUUAAUCAUGCUCAAAAAUAAUCCGACGUCGCCUGGAAUUGAUAACUUCACGCGUUGCAAUGGUUUCAUUUUAACUUCAUGGAAUUCAAAGAAUUAGGAAAACAUCGGGUUUUCCUAGGGUUUUUCAAUACAUACGGAUUCGAAAUGUAUACAAGUUUAAUGAACAAUUUUUUUAAGUAUAGAAACAAACAAGCAUACCUAUGGAUCUUCACAAACGUUUUCAAAAGCUUUUCUUUUCAGAAAAUAUCGGAUUUUCUGGUGGUUUUCAAACGACACGAAACAUUGUUUUUCAAAUACCGCUUAUGAACUCACCAACAUUUCACAUGUUGACGUUUUUCAAAAUACUUGUAUUCUCAGGUAACCAGUGAAUCAAAGGAAAAUGUACUCAGUGAUGGCUUGCAGUUUACUUAUUAACGAAUCGAACAAUUUAUUUUUGGGAAUGUAAUGUUUAAACAAUGUACUUCAUGUAAACUUUAUUGGUUGUACUAUAUUAAUGCAUGGUGACGAAUGUUGUUACGUUUCAUAUAUAUUCAAUGUUAUGGUAUUCAAUUGAGUCACGACAGCUCCCGAACGUUUCCGCCGUCUGGUUCGGGGGUGUGACAGGUUGGUAUCAGAGCUUUGUUUAUAGUGAACUAGCAUGUCGAGCCACACAUUGAUAUGCAACUAUAAACCAAAAAGAGGGACUAACAUAACUCUGAACAAAACAAGUAAAUAAAACACGCUUGCUUGCAUUAGGAAUAAGAACAUAACGCCGAAUCAAACACAAUAAUGCUGGUAUCUCGGUUAAUUCGGGACUGUUCUUAGUGAUACCAAGGAGUGAAUGUAGCCUGAUCAACUACAUUCUCUCCAAAGUAAAACUAACACACGUCUUGAUGAGAUCGGGAUAGCUAGGGAACCUAAAACUAUACCCUUUAUCACUAAAAAGAGAACGCUUGUUUAGUCCGUACAAUAGUCAUAGCAUCCUAGGAAUAAUGUUAGCAUAUUUACAUACUCGCGCAGACAGCAUGGCUGGUUUUCAUCACCCUGGAGACCCCUAUUUCCCUAAUCAGGGAAACAACGGGUGGCUAGAGGAGGAGGAGCCUGAGGAAGAGCCUGAAGAGGAACCUGAGGAAGACCCCGAAGAGGAAUCUGACGGGGAACCGGAGGCAGAAGUCGAGGGCGAGCCUGCCGAACCCGAAGAAGACGAAGAGCAUUUCGAAGAGGAGCUCGAUGACAGCGAAGGGGGUGAUUCGGACGCAGAGUCCGAGGUCAUCGACCCCCCUUACCCGAUCAGGGUGCCUGCUUAUCGUGUGGGCCCCACUGGACCUACCCCUCCUUGGGGCAUUGAUCUUUGGAGAUGGAGCAGACAUCAGGGACAGCGACCCCCGUUUGGCAUGUCACGUGAGUUCUUUGACCUGAGGGACGGAGGACCGGCCGACCGAGCCCUACCGGUCAUGGUGAGACGAUUACGGGACACCGGCGACCUUGCUCAGGGCACUGCUGAUCAAGUACGCCAGUUGUGGACUAGGGUCGAGCGUGCGGAACAGGAGACGCGUGACGUCCUCCGGGAGUUUCACAUGAGGCAGGUAAGGUGGGAGUCUCGACUUCAGGACGCAGAACGCUUGGUGGCUCGUCUUCAGGGAGCAUCCACAUCUUCGGCACCACCUCCUGACGCAGCUCAUCGCGGUUAGGGAUAGACUUAUCAUAGUAGGUCAUUAGGAACUAUGCUAUGUACUCCGGCUCUAUGUUUAAGUGACUACACUACUCAUGGAGCCGUUAUGCUGUCGGAUUAGUGUCACUUAUGUAUGCUCCUACGAGCAAAUUUUCUUGUACUAAAUGCGGAUAAUAUUAAUAAACUUUUGUGUGUUUUGCUAUGAUAUUCUCAGUUGUUAUGUGUUGAGGCGUUAUGAUUGUAUGCUUGAUGAUAGUAAUGUUUAGGUUCGUACCCUACACCUAGUUAGUAGGAUCAUAACCUCACCGAAACCACGUACACUCAACAUCUUUCCGUUUCAUGACAGAAAGAUGCCUCGCCCAGCUACUCGCGGAAAUCCCGAACCAACCCCGCCCGAAGUUGACUCCACUGCUUUCCAGGCAGCCGUGUCUGCUGCGGUCACAGCAGCUAUGGCACAACUUCACCGAGGGAACAACGGAGGAGGUAACGGGCAAGGAUCCGGAAGUUCGAACAACGGGACGAACCAAGGACUCACUAAAACGUGCACCUACAAGGAUUUUGCGAACGCUAAACCCCGAACUUUCAACGGUACCGGAGGAGUGAUCGCCCUAAAGCGAUGGAUCGAGAAGGUAGAGUCGGUAUUCGAGAUAUGCGAGUGCCCCGAGCAGAUGAAAGUGAAGUUCGCGGCCUGCACUUUCGUGGACCAAGCACUCACUUGGUGGAAUGGUCAUGUGGAGGCUAUGACACUCCCUGUCGCCAACUCUAUUCCCUGGGCAGAGAUGAAAGAGAUGUUGACGGCUGAGUACUGCCCCCGAGGCGAAAUACAGAAGAUGGAGCAGGAACUAUGGAAUCUCACGGUGCAGAAUGGGAACAUCGAUGCUUACAUAUCGAGAUUCAGCGAACUAUCUCUGUUGUGCCCGGGUAUGAUCACAUCAGAGGGGAAGAAGAUUGAACGAUUCAUUUGGGGACUGACAUCCCCCAUUCAAGGGAAUGUGAUAGCUGCGAACCCUGAAACUUUUGACAGUGCGAAGAGAUUGGCAAAGAGGCUAUAUGAUCAUAACCACAAAAAGGGCGAGAAACCGGUAGAGACUGAGAAGAAGAAGGAGAGUGAUGGUAAGAAAGGAUGGAACAACAAGAGGAAGGGGCGUCAGGGUCCCGAGACCUCUAAAAAGCAGCAAACGGUGGCAGUUCACGCUGUCACUGCGCCGGUACCAGUCACAUCACAUGCUCCAGCCUCAGCUGCUUCAAAUACUUCAAGACCCUAUUCCGGCACUCAUCCCAAAUGCAACAAGUGCGGUUUCCAUCACCAAGGAGAAUGUAGGGAGUUCCAUUGCACCAGUUGCAAUCGAAGGGGACACACUGCAAAGUUCUGCAGGACUUAUCCUUCUCAGAACCAGAGUCAGGGAAACAACCAGAACAACAACAACAACCACCGCAACACCAACAACACCAAUGCCGGCGGCAACAACGCAGGGCCUAGCCACACCUGUUUCGGGUGUGGAAGGACGGGACAUUUCCGUCGAGAUUGCCCUAACAACAACAACAACUCCGGAAACAGAGGAACAGGAAGAAUGCUGACUAUGGGUCAGAGUGAUGCAGUUCAAGAUCCCGCAGUUGUGACCGGUACGUUUCUCCUAAACCACACUUAUGCAUGCAUCUUAUUUGAUACCGGAGCGGAGCGAAGUUUCGUAAGCGAGAAGUUUAAACAUUUACUAAAACAACAACCCCAGAAGCUAAAUGAAACCUAUACGGUGGAAAUGGCCAAUGGGAAAACCGAAUCCACUAGGGAGAUCUACAUCGGAUGUACCCUAACCCUUAACCAGCACGUCUUUCGAAUAGACCUAAUGCCAGUAUCAAUUAGGAGUUUCGAUGUGAUUAUCGGCAUGGAUUGGUUAAGCCCCCACCAUGCUGAGAUUUUGUGCCACGAGAAGGCCGUUCGCCUUCGUCUCCCAAAUCACGAAACCCUAGUAAUUUACGGAGACAAACCCAGUACGAAUCUCCGCCUCAUCUCGUGCAUCAAAGCGCAAAAACACUUGCGAAAGAACAAUUUGGCGUUCUUGGCCCACAUAGUGGACAAGACCAAAGAAGAAACUAACAUCCAAGACAUUCCGGUAGCGUGUGAAUUUCCGGACGUGUUUCCCGAAGAUCUUCCAGGAGUACCCCCAGAGAGACAGGUUGAAUUCCGAAUCGACCUCGUUCCAGGAGCAACUCCCCUCGCUAAAUCACCAUAUCGGUUGGCACCUGCUGAAAUGCAGGAAUUAUCCAGCCAACUCAGUGAGCUUCUGGACAAGGGAUUUAUCCGACCUAGCUACUCGCCAUGGGGAGCUCCGGUGCUCUUUGUCAAAAAGAAGGACGGAUCUUUCAGAAUGUGCAUCGAUUACAGAGAGUUGAACAAACUCACUGUCAAAAACCGCUACCCACUCCCGCGAAUCGAUGAUCUAUUCGACCAGCUCCAAGGAGCUAGCUAUUUUUCUAAAAUAGACUUACGGUCCGGAUACCACCAACUCAAAGUCCGAGAAGAGGAUAUUCCAAAAACCGCUUUUCGAACCCGCUAUGGACAUUAUGAAUUCGUCGUAAUGCCCUUCGGUCUAACAAAUGCACCUGCCGCAUUUAUGGACCUAAUGAAUCGAAUCUGUCGACCGUUUCUGGACAACUUCGUCAUUGUGUUUAUCGAUGACAUCCUCGUCUAUUCUCGAAGCAAAGAGGAGCAUGGCCGACAUCUCCGACAAAUUUUAGAGACUCUGCGCACGGAAAAGCUUUACGCCAAACUCUCCAAGUGCGAGUUCUGGCUUCGGAGUGUGAAUUUCUUAGGCCACGUAGUUAGCCAAGAUGGAAUUCAUGUGGAUCCCUCUAAGGUCAAAGCUGUGGAAGGAUGGGCAACUCCGACUACGCCCACAGAAAUUCGUCAGUUCUUAGGCCUAGCAGGCUACUAUAGGAGAUUCAUCCAAAACUUCUCUAAGAUCGCCAAGCCGCUUACCUUGCUUACGCAAAAGGGCGUGCCAUUCAAGUGGACAGACCGACAAGAGAUUGCGUUUCGAACCUUGAAGCAAGCUCUUUGCAGCGCUCCUGUACUAUCUCUACCUGAAGGAACGGAAGAUUUUGUAGUUUACUGUGACGCGUCAAAUCAAGGCUUAGGUUGCGUUCUCAUGCAACGUGGAAGAGUGAUAGCAUAUGCGUCCCGUCAACUAAAGACGCACGAAGUAAAUUACACGACCCAUGACCUAGAACUGGGAGCCGUGGUCUUCGCCCUAAAAAUUUGGAGGCACUACCUGUACGGUACUAAGUGCACCAUCUUCACAGACCACAAGAGCCUCCAGCACAUCUUGAAUCAGAAGGAGCUGAACAUGAGACAACGAAGAUGGGUGGAGUUGUUAAACGACUACGAAUGCGAGAUCAAGUACCAUCCAGGCAAGGCCAACGUGGUAGCUGACGCAUUAAGUCGGAAGGAAUACACAAAUCGCCGUACGAAAACGCACUCGAUAACCAUUCAGUCUCAUCUGACCACUCAAAUUGCAUCAGUCCAGGCAGAGGCUAUGAAAGCGGAAAAUAGAACUAGCGAGGCAUUGCGCGGAAUGGAGAAGAACCUGGAAGUCAAAGAGAAUGGGGUAUACUACUUCAUGAACCGUAUUUGGGUUCCAAAAAUCGGAGGAUUCAGAGAGACCGUUAUGAAGGAAGCCCACAAGACACGAUACUCCAUUCAUCCUGGUUCGGACAAGAUGUAUUUGGACAUUAAGCAGCACUAUUGGUGGCCUAACAUGAAGGCGGAAAUCGCAACUUAUGUUAGUAAGUGCCUUACGUGUGCCAAAGUAAAAGUGGAAUACCAGAAACCUUCCGGAUUGUUACAGCAACCGGCAAUCCCUGAGUGGAAAUGGGAGGGGAUUUCUAUGGACUUCGUGACCAAGCUGCCCAAGACGUCGGACGGAUUGGACACCAUAUGGGUAAUAAUCGACCGACUGACGAAAUCUGCCCAUUUCCUGCCAAUCAAAGAGUCCUACAAGAUGGAGAGGCUGACGCGUUUGUACCUACGAGAGAUUGUAAGACUUCAUGGAGUGCCAAAAUCUAUCAUCUCGGAUAGGGACAGUAGGUUCACGUCACGCUUUUGGCAGUCGCUCCACAAGGCCAUGGGAACUCAUCUUGAUAUGAGCACCGCGUAUCACCCACAAACGGACGGUCAAAGCGAACGAACCAUUCAGACGCUUGAAGACAUGCUUCGUGCAUGUGUGAUAGACUUCGGAAAGUCUUGGGAUACCCACCUACCGUUGAUCGAGUUUUCAUAUAACAAUAGUUAUCAUUCGAGCAUUAAGGUGGCCCCUUUCGAAGCACUGUACGGGCGUAAAUGUAGAUCACCGUUAUGUUGGGCUGAAGUAGGUGACACCCAGCUAGCAAGAACACAUACGUCGGAUAGGGCAAUGACAGGACCGGAAAUCAUUCGCGAGACCACAGAAAAGAUUGUCCAGAUCAAAGCUCGAUUACAGGCAUCGCGUGACCGGCAAAAGAGCUACGCUGAUAAACGGCGAAAGCCCUUAGAAUUCCAGGUCGGUGAUCGAGUAUUGUUGAAGGUCUCACCCUGGAAAGGGGUUAUACGUUUCGGAAAACGAGGAAAGCUAAACCCACGGUACAUUGGACCUUUCGAAAUCGUCGCCCGAAUAGGUCCGGUAGCCUACAGACUACAACUACCCCCGGAGCUAAACGGUGUGCACCCCGUGUUUCAUGUUUCUAAUCUGAAAAAGUGCCUAUCAGAUGAAACCCUUGUCAUUCCUCUUGACGAAAUCGAAAUCAAUGAGAAUCUCCUGUUCGUCGAAGAACCAAUCGAAAUCAUGGACAGGGAGGUGAAGCGUACUAAGCAAAGUCGCAUCCCGAUCGUGAAGGUACGGUGGAACGCAAAGCGUGGGCCAGAAUUCACGUGGGAACGCGAAGAUCAAAUGAAGCAGAAGUACCCUCACCUAUUCUAGCAUUCUCAAAUCUAGCUUUCAAACAGAAUUUCGGGACGAAAUUCCCUCUAACGGGGGGAUGAUGUCACAACUGUAAAUUUUGAGCCAUGUAAUCUAUACAUUCAAGUUAAUGUGAAUCAAAAACUUCAAUCAAAUACAACAUGCUAGGACUACAAAUAGUCAUCAAACAAUUGGAGACCCUAGAAGUUCUUGUUAAGUCUAAUUUAGGCUAGAACUUCCUUAUUGGAUCCAAAUGGGCCAAUAAGCUUCCAAUUAGACUAUCAUGGGCUUAGAACCCUAAUUGGGCUCUAAUUGGACCCACACUUAUUUAUUUUAACAUUUUAGGUCAUGUUGGGCCUAGAAUUAAAUAAAUUAAAAGCCUUGAUACAUGAAUAACCUAAAACUAGUUCAAGAAAAACAUAAAAAUCCUACCACACUCCUUAGACUUAAAACACACCCUAAUUACCACUAAUAUUGGGCUUAAGGGCCAAAAGGCCCAAAAAUCUUUUUUUUCUUUCAAAUUCUCGGCCCAAGGCCCACACUCAAGGAGAAAUGGAAGAGUUGACUAUUUGCUUGCCACCUCAUUAUUACCCAACAUGUCUCCAUGCAUCUUAGUCCAUAUCUCCAUGCAAAUCACUUCAAAAGUCAUUUCUUCUUCUCUCCUCUCUCACUCUCGGCCAAGCAUCAUCACACACACCAAAAUAUCUCAACUUUCUCUCUAGAACACUCAAAGAACUCUCCUUCCCUCCCCUCUCCAAAGAUCUCGAAAUUUAGGGACUUUCCAAGAGGAUUUUGCAAGUAAAUCAUCAUCUAAGGUAAGAUUAUUCAUAGAUCUAUGGUUUAAAUUCUUUUGUUAUCAAAAUCUCUUCCUAAUCCAUGUAAAAACCGUGAUCUUGCACUCUAGAAACCCCCUUAAUCUCGAAAAGUUCAUCAAGGAGUGCAAGGGCCAAAAAUCACUUCAUUUCUUCCAAUUUUUCUUCAAGAACCGAAACUACCCACUCAAGGUGAGAUUCAUACCCCUAUUUUCUGUUUUUAAGAGUUUUUGUGGGGGGGAAUACAAGUGAAAGUGUAGAUCUAUAUGUGUUUUGUAUGCCUUGUAUGAUUUCUAUGCUUAUAUGUGUGAUUUUGUGUGUUUAUAAUGUUGGAUCUAGCCAUAAACCCCUAAAAAUCGAGAUAUACUUUAUGUUAAAUGAUAUUAGCAUCAAAUAUAUUUCUACAUACAAAUUGUUCCAAGAAAAAUAGCUAAAUGGUCUGAUAACAUCUUCUUUGGGCUAAAAACUCAAUUUUUUGACAUAAAAUGCUAAAAAAAUAAAGUUAAAGGGCCCAAAUUGACAAAUUGUGAAUUCUGAUGGAUGAGAAGUGUCAAAACAGUUUCAAUAUAGUGUUUUCUGGAAAUAUAAACUUUUGGAGGAUUACAAAUAUGAAUUUCAAGCUUAAUGGGCUAAAAAUGACAAUUUUGGCCCAAUAGGGCCCAAUAUGCGAAAUUUUCUGUUUUGAAGGGCCAAAACUGUGUUUUUCUGUAAAACAGUGGACUACUAGUGUUCCAAGUCCUUUUCUAAGGUUUAAAAUGCUUUUCAAAUUUAAAAAGGACCAAAGUUGCAAAAAUUUUCCAAUUUGGGCCAAAAUUGUAAAAAUUGCGAAAAAGAGGGGUUAUAACCGAGAAAACUGUAUUUUCAGGGACUUAAACUGUUUUCAAUGAAAAAUAUGCUGAAAAAUAUUAAUUUCAAUAAUUUUUGGUGUUAAAAUGUCAAGAAAAAUGAUUUAAGGACCAAACCGGAAAGUUAUUUAAUUAGAGGGUUGAAAAAGUAAAUUUUACAAACAAUGAGGGGCUGAAAACAGAAAACUUCCAAGGCUAAUUCAAUACACGCAAUUUGAUCAAAUAAUGGCACUGCGACUAUCGACGAAAUACAAUACACAACAAUACCAAAAAUCGUUGUUAAACGAAUUGAUUCGGUCUCGAAUCAAUAACAAUCCGAAAAUACUAACACGACGAUAACUCGAUUCAUACACGAAAACAUUUGGUAAUUCAACAUACAUGCGAGUGUGCACAGACGUCUACGCACCAUCUUUGGGCCCCAAAAGUGUAAAAUCUUGUUCGUUGGGCCUAGCUAGCCCAAUGACCUGAUCUUAAGGCCCGAAGACUUCUACCUUACGAAGUGUUGGGUUUUACCGAUCUAACACAACGUAAAAGGACUUUCAAUGGCUUGUAUACUAUUGGUCCCCAAGGGUCCUUUGGUAUUGCUAGUAAAGUCGAUAUUUCAUGCGAGGCGGGUCAGGGACCCCUCGUACCUUUUUUUAUCCCCAACCGGUUAAUGGAGUCAUCGGGGCCUUCGUGUCCUCUUUCUCUUCGGAUGUGGGACUACACGUAGUCAGGGCGGUUGGAUAACGUGAUUAGUACGAACGACGC
Molecule: long non-coding RNA, 9994 nt
Filed under: Lactuca sativa (garden lettuce)
Lineage: Eukaryota; Viridiplantae; Streptophyta; Magnoliopsida; Asterales; Asteraceae
Description: long non-coding RNA (LSAT_LNC000607)
Source: RNAcentral